This 824-nucleotide long non-coding RNA is filed under the name Pan paniscus (pygmy chimpanzee). RNAcentral's name for it is "lncRNA (ENSPPAG00000045369.1)". Lineage: Eukaryota; Metazoa; Chordata; Mammalia; Primates; Hominidae. The record is from RNAcentral.
GGGGCAUACCCCCGCCCCCAGCUCCGCACCAGGCAAACCUGGGCAUAUGGGCCUGCCCCUGCUGGUGAGGCGGCCACAACGGUGUGUGGGAAUGGGAUGCUCUGUGACCCAGGUGGUGUGGGCUGAGUCCCGGGAGCCAAAGGGCAGAGGCAGGAUCAGCCACGGGAUUCCAGCCUUGGGAACUCCCAACCCCAGGCUCUGGGAGAAGGAGCAGACACACACCAAUGUGCGAAUGCAGCUGCAACACUCGCUGGAAGGAGAGGAAGAAGAGACAGAGUGCAGGGCGUGAGCCUGGAGGCUGGGAGGCCCAGAAGGAGGCUGGCACAAAGGAGAGGGGACAGGCCAUGCAGUCCAAGGUGAGGAAGCAGUAUGGGCUGGUGUCAGGGCUGGUGGUGUGUGUUUGUGUGUGUGUGUGUGUGUGUAAAAAGUCCCCUUCAUCCCUAGAUUCUGAGGAAAGGGAGGGGCCCAUGCCAGCAUCCCCUCAAAGUCUGGGAAACCUGGAUCCCAGCCUCAUAGCGUCAGAACGUCAGAACAUCAGAACAGCCAGACCUGGCAGGGGAGGGGCCAGGGAGAAGGAGCAGAGGCAGUAUUUUCCCAGGGUCCCCUGGGGAGCCUGGCAGUGUGGACUGGGGGUGGGGCCGAGGAGGACAGAUGGGGCUGUGGGAGGGAGCAGCUGCCACUCUCCUCUCCAGGGAUGCCCGCUCCCCAACUCCAGCCCGCAUACCAGUGGGAGAGAUCGUGAGACCCUCCCCCUAUCCUUGCUCCCACCAGUCCUCAGUUUCCCUAGUGACACUGGAGAGACGAUCUGUGAGGACCCCCCCUGA